RNAcentral lists this ribosomal RNA (429 nucleotides) under Chloroflexota bacterium. RNAcentral's name for it is "Chloroflexi bacterium partial 16S ribosomal RNA". It matches the Rfam family "Bacterial small subunit ribosomal RNA", at positions 355 to 776 of the family's 1533-position model. Lineage: Bacteria; Bacillati; Chloroflexota. The record is from RNAcentral.
UGGGGAAUAUUGCACAAUGGGCGCAAGCCUGAUGCAGCCAUGCCGCGUGUAUGAAGAAGGCCUUCGGGUUGUAAAGUACUUUCAGUCGGGAGGAAGGUGGUAAGGUUAAUAACCUUAUCAAUUGACGUUACCGACAGAAGAAGCACCGGCUAACUCCGUGCCAGCAGCCGCGGUAAUACGGGGGGUCCAAGCGUUAAUCGGAAUUACUGGGCGUAAGGCGCACGCAGGCGGUUGAUUGAGUCAGAUGUGGAAUCCCCGGGCUUAACCCGGGAAUUGCAUCUGAUAAUGGUCAGGUGGAGUCGUGUAGAGGGGGGGAGAAUUCCAAGUGUAGCGGUGAAAUUCGUAGAGAUGUGGAGGAAUACCGGUGGCGAAGGCGGCCCCCUGGACAAAGACUGACGCUCAGGUGCGAAAGCGUGGGGAGCAAACAGG